UCUCCGUUGGUGAACCAGCGGAGGGAUCAUUACCGAGUUUACAACUCCCAAACCCCUGUGAACAUACCAUUUGUUGCCUCGGCGGUGCCUGCUUCGGCAGCCCGCCAGAGGACCCAAACCCUUGAUUUUAUACAGUAUCUUCUGAGUAAAUGAUUAAAUAAAUCAAAACUUUCAACAACGGAUCUCUUGGUUCUC
RNAcentral lists this unclassified non-coding RNA (195 nucleotides) under plant metagenome. Its description in RNAcentral is "partial contains small subunit ribosomal RNA, internal transcribed spacer 1, and 5.8S ribosomal RNA". The record is from RNAcentral.